UCUCCCUUCUGGAACUUACGGGAGUAAUCUAUCUCUCCCUCACAUUUGUACAUCUCUGUUUCACCAUGGACGCACCGCCAUUUUUAUACACACACACACAGAGCGACGAGCCGUCGCCUCCUUCCGGCGACCGACGCAACACAUUCAUCUUCGUCUCUCUCUCUCCGUGUCUCAGCCUCUCUUUUGCUGCUCAAACACACGCCGAUCUCCUUUCCUCUCUGUGUUGCUGUUGCCCGGUAGAUUCCGGCUACGUCAUUGCCUUUUCCGGACAGAUUUAGACAAAGACUUGACUCCAUUUUUUGUAACAGGAUAUAACAUGGAGAAGGAGCAGGAACAAAGUGGAUCGUGUGUCAAAGGCAUUUUGGAUUUUGAGAUUAGGUGACCGAAUUAGCUCUUUUUCUUCACCGCUGCUCAAGUCGAAUCACUACCUAACCCUUUGCGUCUGAAUAAUCGUAUGAAGUAUUAGUUGUGGCAUGUAUAGGAAGGGUAAUGUAUUUGGAUGUCUUAAUCUUUUCAUACACUUUUGUUAAAUAUAUUUUUUUAAAUAGAAAUUCAGGUUGUGCCUAUAUAUAUAGACGUUAUAUAGCAGUUUGUCGGUUUACCAAGUAAUGGAUAAUAAUUUAUCUCUGGUAAUUAGAUAUUUGUACCAAAAUGUGACAUCACUUAUUCGAUUAUUAAUUAAUCGGGUAAGGGGUGUUACACUUAUUAUUGAUAGAAGCUAAUUUAGAUUGGGAUUGACUGUCUUCUUGUGGUCUCUCAUUAAUUAUGAACAACUGGGGUGAGAUAUUGAUUCGUGGGAGAAGAUGGCACGAGUUGAUCAGUGAUGAGGAACUAUCUGGCCUAAGAAUUGGCUUGGUUUUUCCAGAGUGCAAUACUUUUUUAUUCUUUCACUGUUCAUGAAAAUGUCGGGUUUCUGUUGUAAAAUAUUGUCUUUAUAAAUAGUUUUUGCUUCAUUGUUA
Molecule: non-coding RNA, 959 nt
Organism: Salvia hispanica
Lineage: Eukaryota; Viridiplantae; Streptophyta; Magnoliopsida; Lamiales; Lamiaceae
Source: RefSeq, a predicted model, not a curated record